ACGCUAUUUAUAUUUAAACAAACGGUUCGAUCCAUUGGUGAAAGGAGAUGUGAAUUUAUGGAUAUGAACGAGCUAUCCAAAUAAUUAUAAAGAAAUUGAAGAUUUCAUUGAGUAAAUACCAUCUUAGCAUACUAUUUAAUGUUCUAAGCAAAUUUUUCAUGUCGAUAUAAAAUUAAAAAUUAUAACUUAUUGCAAUGAGCAUAAGAAUAUACUAUGC
Molecule: long non-coding RNA, 217 nt
Filed under: Elaeis guineensis (African oil palm)
Lineage: Eukaryota; Viridiplantae; Streptophyta; Magnoliopsida; Arecales; Arecaceae
Description: long non-coding RNA (EGUI_LNC079735)
Source: RNAcentral